Molecule: ribosomal RNA, 427 nt
Filed under: uncultured bacterium
Lineage: Bacteria
Description: bacterial SSU rRNA
Rfam family: Bacterial small subunit ribosomal RNA
Source: RNAcentral
UGGGGAAUAUUGGACAAUGGGGGCAACCCUGAUCCAGCAAUGCCGCGUGUGUGAAGAAGGCCUUCGGGCUGUAAAGCACUUUUAUCGGGAACGAAACAUUGUCGGCCAAUACCCGGCAAGACUGACGGUACCCGAGGAAUAAGCGCCGGCUAACUCCGUGCCAGCAGCCGCGGUAAUACGGAGGGUGCAAGCGUUAAUCGGAAUUACUGGGCGUAAAGCGUGCGCAGGCGGUUUGUUAAGUCUGCUGUGAAAUCCCCGAGCUCAACUUGGGAAUUGCAGUGGAUACUGGCAAGCUGGAGUACGGUAGAGGAAGGCGGAAUUCCCGGUGUAGCAGUGAAAUGCGUAGAGAUCGGGAGGAACACCAGUGGCGAAGGCGGCCUUCUGGACCAGUACUGACGCUCAUGCACGAAAGCGUGGGGAGCAAACA